GCGGCCCGGACCGGGAAGUGUCAAGCGGUAGCCGGGUUCCCCUACCUUCGCUGCCAGUACUGCUGAGCCCGGACCUCCUUGCCCAGGUCCAGGCCAGCCGCCAUGACGAACAUGUACUCCUUGGAUGGGAUUCUGGUAUUUGGUUUGCUCUUUGUUUGCACCUGUACCUAUUUCAAGAAAGUACCUCGUCUCGAAACCUGGCUGCUAUCAGAGAAGAAGGGCGUUUGGGGUGUGUUUUACAAAGCUGCAGUGAUCGGAACCAGGCUGCAUGCUGCUGUGGCAAUUGCCUGUGUUGUAAUGGCCAUUUACAUUCUGUUUAUAAAAUGAAUUUCCAAAGUAAUCCAACUCCUCGACUGCCACCCCAGGGGACAGAG
Molecule: RNA transcript, 374 nt
Organism: Carlito syrichta (Philippine tarsier)
Lineage: Eukaryota; Metazoa; Chordata; Mammalia; Primates; Tarsiidae
Gene name: protein kish-B pseudogene
Exons: 1
Source: RefSeq, a predicted model, not a curated record